AAAAAGCUCGUAGUUGGAUUUGUGGAGAGCUCCUCCGUUCGCUUAGCGUUCGUGGUUGGAGCUUCUCCGUCCAUCCUUGGGUGGAUCCUGUGUGGCAUUCAGUUGUCGUGCAGGGGAUGCCCAUCGUUUACUGUGAAAAAAUUAGAGUGUUCAAAGCAGGCUUACGCCGUUGAAUAUAUUAGCAUGGAAUAAUGAGAUAGGACCUGGGUACUAUUUUGUUGGUUUGCGCACCGAGGUAAUGAUUAAUAGGGACAGUUGGGGGUAUUCGUAUUCCAUUGUCAGAGGUGAAAUUCUUGGAUUUUUGGAAGACGAACUACUGCGAAAGCAUUUACCAAGGAUGUUUUCAUUAAUCAAGAACGAAAGUUAG
RNAcentral lists this ribosomal RNA (367 nucleotides) under Thalassiosira rotula. RNAcentral describes it as "SSU rRNA". It matches the Rfam family "Eukaryotic small subunit ribosomal RNA", at positions 621 to 993 of the family's 1831-position model. Lineage: Eukaryota; Bacillariophyta; Thalassiosirophyceae; Thalassiosirales; Thalassiosiraceae. The record is from RNAcentral.